This 254-nucleotide ribosomal RNA is filed under the name uncultured bacterium. RNAcentral's name for it is "partial 16S ribosomal RNA". It matches the Rfam family "Bacterial small subunit ribosomal RNA", at positions 524 to 776 of the family's 1533-position model. The record is from RNAcentral.
UACGUAGGGGGCUAGCGUUGUCCGGAAUCAUUGGGCGUAAAGCGCGCGUAGGCGGCCCGGUAAGUCCGCUCUGAAAGUCCAGGGCUCAACCCUGGAAAGCGGGUGGAUACUGCCGGGCUAGAAUCCGGAAGAGGCGAGUGGAAUUCCUGGUGUAGCGGUGGAAUGCGCAGAUAUCAGGAGGAACACCAAUAGCGAAGGCAGCUCGCUGGGACGGUAUUGACGCUAAGGCGCGAAAAGCGUGGGGAGCAAACAGG